Molecule: small RNA, 539 nt
Filed under: Lodderomyces parapsilosis
Lineage: Eukaryota; Fungi; Ascomycota; Pichiomycetes; Serinales; Debaryomycetaceae
Description: eukaryotic LSU rRNA
Rfam family: 5.8S ribosomal RNA (bases 199-352)
Source: RNAcentral
AAAAGUCGUAACAAGGUUUCCGUAGGUGAACCUGCGGAAGGAUCAUUACAGAAUGAAAAGUGCUUAACUGCAUUUUUUCUUACACAUGUGUUUUUCUUUUUUUGAAAACUUUGCUUUGGUAGGCCUUCUAUAUGGGGCCUGCCAGAGAUUAAACUCAACCAAAUUUUAUUUAAUGUCAACCGAUUAUUUAAUAGUCAAAACUUUCAACAACGGAUCUCUUGGUUCUCGCAUCGAUGAAGAACGCAGCGAAAUGCGAUAAGUAAUAUGAAUUGCAGAUAUUCGUGAAUCAUCGAAUCUUUGAACGCACAUUGCGCCCUUUGGUAUUCCAAAGGGCAUGCCUGUUUGAGCGUCAUUUCUCCCUCAAACCCUCGGGUUUGGUGUUGAGCGAUACGCUGGGUUUGCUUGAAAGAAAGGCGGAGUAUAAACUAAUGGAUAGGUUUUUUCCACUCAUUGGUACAAACUCCAAAACUUCUUCCAAAUUCGACCUCAAAUCAGGUAGGACUACCCGCUGAACUUAAGCAUAUCAAUAGCGGGGAGGA